This is a non-coding RNA of Oncorhynchus kisutch (coho salmon), 664 nucleotides long. NCBI's taxonomy places the organism in Eukaryota, Metazoa, Chordata, Actinopteri, Salmoniformes, Salmonidae. The record is from the annotation of a RefSeq genome assembly.
GUUGGUUUGGAGUAUUCAGCUUCUGUUGUGCUAUUAGUUAGUUUGACUUCCAACCCCAGCCAUGUUGUUCAUCUGGUCAAUUAUUACAUUCUCAGUAAUAGGUGGCAGUUAUGAGCAGACUAUCGAGCCAAACCAACAUGAAGUGUAUGCAGAAGUGGGUAGUAAUGUUCUUCUUUCCUGCAACUUCUCCUCAGCGUACAGUCUACUAUGGUAUAAACAGUCUCCAGGAUCAGCUCCCCAAUAUCUUCUGCUCAUCCAGCACUCCACUGGGAAUGAAUAUAAAGAUGAUUCUCUUGACUCUCGCUUCUCUGGUAAACUGAACAAAGAGAAGACCCGUGUUGAUCUGGAGAUCUCUUCUGUUGAAGUGACAGACUCUGCUAUGUACUACUGUGCUCUGAAUCCCACAGUGACAGGAAACCCAGAAACACUGUACAAAAACCUAACAUCGUUUGAGAGAUUCCUCAUACGGGACUACUCUGGGAUCAUAACUAACACUGAUAGUACAAAAUGGACCCUCACACAUGAAGAAGAGGACAACCUUGUGGAUCUGAAGAUCUCCUCUGCUGAAGUGACAGACUCUGCUCUGCACUGUACAAAAUCUGAUCUUGACAAUAUGAACACAGAGAACCUGAGUCUGAGACCCCUAGAACCAGAGUCUGAAUAG